UUUCGACAAUGGCACAGCUGAACUCCAGUCAACACAAAGACAAUCAACUGAAGUGUUACUCAUGAUAUACAUCUUCAAGAAAAGGUCCCUCGCUCCCCAUCACCCCACGGGGUCUCCCGCUGGAAGGAGGGGCGCCGGUAGCCACAGGCCCCCCUGCAGCUGCUGCCUGCCAAUUCUCCAGCCCCCCAAGAGAGGCCCUGCACCUCAUCGCCUCGCCGCACCGCAUGGAAAUGAGCAAAACUGCACGCGUUUCUAGCAAAACAAGGAAGAAUACUGAAGAUCACCCAGACAACAGUUGUAAGAAAAGUAUUUU
Long non-coding RNA from Lepisosteus oculatus (spotted gar), 313 nucleotides. RefSeq lists it as uncharacterized. The record is from RefSeq and is a predicted model, not a curated record. Lineage: Eukaryota; Metazoa; Chordata; Actinopteri; Semionotiformes; Lepisosteidae.